GAAAUGCGAUAAGUAAUGUGAAUUGCAGAAUUCAGUGAAUCAUCGAAUCUUUGAACGCACCUUGCGCUCCUUGGUAUUCCGAGGAGCAUGCCUGUUUGAGUGUCAUGGUAUUCUCAACCCUGCUACAUUUUUUGUGUAGCUGGGCUUGGACUUGGAGGUUUAUUGCUGGUGUUCUCUUUUGAACGCGGGCUCCUCUGAAAUGCAUUAGCUGGAAUGUUACCGAGCAUGAUUCAACGUGAUAAUUGUCUACAUUGCUUCAACUUGGUAUUAAUUCUGUUUCAGCUUCAAACCGUCCCUUGCGGACAAUAUCUUGAACAUCUGACCUCAAAUCAGGUAGGACUACCCGCUGAACUUAA
This 356-nucleotide unclassified non-coding RNA is filed under the name uncultured Polyporales. RNAcentral's name for it is "sequence contains ITS1". The stretch from base 1 to 105 matches the Rfam family "5.8S ribosomal RNA", at positions 50 to 154 of the family's 154-position model. Lineage: Eukaryota; Fungi; Basidiomycota; Agaricomycetes; Polyporales. The record is from RNAcentral.